Molecule: non-coding RNA, 316 nt
Organism: Peromyscus maniculatus bairdii (prairie deer mouse)
Lineage: Eukaryota; Metazoa; Chordata; Mammalia; Rodentia; Cricetidae
Source: RefSeq, a predicted model, not a curated record
CUGAGUAAUUUUUUUUCAUGUUUCAUAAAAUCUUUAUUGACAAAUAAUUCACAUAGUACACAAUUUGCCUGUUUGCACAAUUUGAUAGACUUUAGUCCAGCAUCCUCAUAGGCCCAGGACACCAUCACCACUUCCUAUUUUAGAACAUCGCUGUCUUCAAUUUCAGACACACAUAUAAUGUAUGGUGAUUACACUCCACCUGAUUCUUUUUAUUACAUUCCACCUUAUUUCUUUAAAUAAACAUAUUAUUUGCAGUUCUAACCAUUUUUAAGUUCACAAUUCAGUAGCAUGAAUUACACUCGUGAUAUUAAUUACA